UGGGGAAUUUUGGACAAUGGGCGAAAGCCUGAUCCAGCAAUGCCGCGUGUGUGAAGAAGGCCUUCGGGUUGUAAAGCACUUUUGUCCGGAAAGAAAUCCUUGGCUCUAAUACAGUCGGGGGAUGACGGUACCGGAAGAAUAAGCACCGGCUAACUACGUGCCAGCAGCCGCGGUAAUACGUAGGGUGCAAGCGUUAAUCGGAAUUACUAGGCGUAAAGCGUGCGCAGGCGGUUUGCUAAGACCGAUGUGAAAUCCCCGGGCUCAACCUGGGAACUGCAUUGGUGACUGGCAGGCUAGAGUAUGGCAGAGGGGGGUAGAAUUCCACGUGUAGCAGUGAAAUGCGUAGAGAUGUGGAGGAAUACCGAUGGCGAAGGCAGCCCCCUGGGCCAAUACUGACGCUCAUGCACGAAAGCGUGGGGAGCAAACAGGAUUAGAUACCCUGGUAGUCCACGCCCUAAACGAUGUCAACUAGUUGUUGGGGAUUCAUUUCCUUAGUAACGUAGCUAACGCGUGAAGUUGACCGCCUGGGGAGUACGGUCGCAAGAUUAAAACUCAAAGGAAUUGACGGGGUCAUAGCUGUUUCCU
Molecule: ribosomal RNA, 585 nt
Filed under: uncultured bacterium
Lineage: Bacteria
Description: partial 16S ribosomal RNA
Rfam family: Bacterial small subunit ribosomal RNA
Source: RNAcentral